UUAAUUUUCUGAGACGAAUUUUACUGCACUGCUAGCUAACUUUGCAACAAUUUGCACAGCCGCAGGUCCUCAUCUUCCCUCCACCAUGUGUUCGACGAGAUGCACGCCCGCCCGCCCUCAUCUACUGUUAAGAUGAGAAACACCUGUUCAUGUCUGUUACCUGUUCGGCGGAAUGCCUGUGAGAGAUGUGUUUAUCAAGCAAGUUUCCUUUAGUUCUUGCAAAAAUUAAAAUGAAGUUGAUUUUAUUUACACUUUUCAUUUUCGAUUUGAUUUACCUUCGCGCAAGCAGCUCCCAGAUGAGGAAGAGUACUAAGCUUUAUCAGAUUAGUAUCAUCUUCUUUGUGCAAGCAAAAGAAGUUUUCUAGAGAUUUCAAUUCUGACCAUACCAUAUACUUUCAUUGCAGUUUAUUAAUUUUUACCCCUCUGAUGUUAUCAGUUCAUUCUUGACUGUUUCUACAUUGAAAGGGGCAUGUAAAAUCUGAAUGCAGUACUGUUUUUCGCCCAAAAUAUCAGGAUUCGGUGCAGUUUUGGCUAGAAUAGAAGUGCCAGACAUCUACAAUUUUGAAAGAUGAUAUAUGCAGUUGUUUUCUCAUCAGGAUUCGGUGCAGUUUCGGUGGGAGAAGGGAGCAGUGGAGUUUCAUUUCAUGCCAUUAGGAAAUCAGGAGGCUGGGGUGAUAUAACCAAGGUUCUUAAAUUGGAUCCACUAGUUCAGCGGAUUUUCGUUGUUGCUCGUCAAAGAUCUUCUAGUUCUGUGUGCUGAGGUCAUUAAUGCCUUCUACAAGGCUCGUGCUCAGGAAAUGGAAAUUAGAGAGAUGGAUUUAAAGGCAAAGGUUGACGAGUUAGCAAGGAGCAACAGGCUACUCAACAUAAAGCAUCGGCAACUACUUCUGAAGCUACUGGAAAUGCUCUGCUAGAAGUUGAAUCAUUUUAUUGAUCUCAAGUUGAAAGACUUGGAAGAGAAGGGAGAGUUGGUAUGACAUUUCGUAGUAUCUUUUGUGGAUCUAGAACACAUAUUCAAUUGUUGGUGACUAUUUCCCCUUACACAGAACAGAAAUUAUUGAAAGACAAAGUGCAAAGCUUGGAGAAAGUAUGGUCAUUGGUUCAAGAAGAAUCUUUGAAAAAUCCGAGCCCUGCCUCACAAGGUGUGCACUACAUAAGGUUUACACAAGGUUCAAAGUCAGGCAAAUUUUUGCAAGAACCCAGUUCAGCUUCAGUACAAACAGCAAUGACCCAUGUGCCACGCCAAGGCAGGCCCCAGCAGCCACCAAGGGGAUUGUUAGACUUCAAGCUUGCCGGCAGUGUGUUCACGAGUGUGGUGUGCAUCUUCUUCAGGAGCACUCUGCAUAGUUAGUCUCAAGAUGCAUAUACCUCUUUGUUUUGUUUUGCUUUCUGAACUUCGUGAAGUACUCACAAGCCCACCACAUUUUACCUUUUGUAAUUCAUUCACGUUUUCUUUUAUACAGUAGGAAAAACUUCCACGAUAUAAGAAAUAUUUGAUACAAUAAAUAUUUGAUGUGAUUUUAACAAUCUAGCCAUAAUGUGUACAAUCUGGUUGUAUAAUGUUAAUUACGUCGGGCAAUAAUUUACCCAGUUCACCGGUCAGCUCGAUUUCGUGCGCAGCAACGGCGGAUCGUGGGGCUUAAUCGUGCGGCAACUGCAUCUAACAUAAAUUUACGUCGGACAAACGAAAUCGUAUAGUUAGCCGUGAGUAUAGUAUUCUGAAGGUGCAUGCAACAUAAAUUAUGAAGGUGCAUGUAACAUAAAUUACUUCACAUGCAAAUGUAAAAAAAAUCAAAAUUCCAAAUGUCAGAAGCUGCAUGGGACGUAAACUUAUGUUGCAUGCAAACAAGCUCACCGCACGGGCGUGCGCUCGAUGCCUGAAACCCCAUGUAACUUUACGUCACAUGCAAGGAAACUGAGGGGUGGAAGCACGCUCGGACGCUAGGUUGGGUGCCCCAGGGAGUCAAAUAGCGCGACCAUAUAUAUAUAUAUAUAUAUAUAUAUAUAUGAAUCUGUGAGAUAUAUGUUCCUCUCAGUAAUACUCAUUUUGUAAUCUACUAAUUUGCUUGCUGGAUAUUGAUGCUAGCGAAAAUCAAUGUCGAAUAUUGAUUUCUGUUCCAAUCAUUUAUGGUCAUUCUGUAACCUGUAAUCUGCUAACUGAUACUAGUGAAUAUUUAUGCUAACUAAUGCUGGCUGAAACUGUUGUACUGCUAAUUGGUGCUUGCCAAAACUCUACAGUUAACUGAUGCUGGCAUCACUGGAAGAGAGCAAGGCCAAUUCCUUCGCUAACUGAUGCUAAAUGAUAUUGCAGUUAGCAUCAGUUCUCUAGUGCUAACUAAUGAUAAUUGCAAGCUAACCCUAGAAACCCAAAAUUGCUUAUCCCGUCCAAUUAAACUAGUCUGAUUUUAGAAGGCUUUGCCUAGUAGGCUAAUAUGCAUUUGCGGUCUCUCAUCCGAUGCAACAACUGCAAAGAAGCAAAAACAAAACACCUUGCGAACACACAAUAGAACUCUCUGUUGCAAAAAUAUACAGAAAAAAGGAUGUAUAUCAUCUCAUCUAAAACCUUGUAGGCCCUCUGUAUCAUCACCAAUAUGAACCGUGUUAGCUCAUUAUUGAACUGUGUUUGGGAUGCAACAUUAUGAAGUAGGAAAACAACACUUAGGCUGGGCAACACAUCUCAAACAAGCAGGCCCUAGCCACCUAGACGCGUGACAUUAGUUUUGGGUUAGUUCUGUAACAUCUACACCCAUAUAUAGGACCCAUAUAUAGGCUCUAAACCAUCUGCAGCCCCCUUGUAGUAGGCCCUAACCAAUCUACAAAAGAGUCACACAAAAAGCACACAGCCAGAAAGUGAAGUUCCCUCAACACAACAUAAGUCAAUCCUUAUCCAACUCCUGAAUGAAGCAACUUAUUAGGACUAGUACGACUUGUUAUCACAAAAAGUUGCUCACAAAUAAAAAGGAAAAAAGGAUACGCACAAACAUGCCUAACAAAACAGGUUACGUGUUAAAAUUGCACGAACAGAGGAUGAAGUUUCCAUAGGUAAAAAGCAACUACAAAAACUAAUCUAGUUUUUCGCUUAGGUUAAAAAUUGCAUGACCAUGGGAUUCACAGAAAACAAUUCUCUCUGUCAUUUCUCUACUGCAAAAAUGGACGAACAACAAUCCUAGAAAAUAAACAGAAAAUUGCUUCUAGAACCUUAACCUAACCAUAAACAACCCAUUGGACACAACUUACAUCAACCAAAACCAACUAAAAUGCUUGACGAUCAGGUUGCAUGUAACAUGCCAAUCAUGAACAGAACAAAGCAUGGACAAAAGAAUAGUACAGCUAUCAGUUACCUAUGCAAAAGCCAUUGGUAAAACACAUCUGAUAUGCUACUAAACCUAGAACACUAGGCUAAAAUAUAAUGAAACAAAUUUCAAUUUCCUGAUUAGAUUCAGCAACAAAAGGCAAUGUUAGAGCGCCUAGAAGCAACAGAUCUAUGGAUCAUCAUAGUACAUGCGCAUCGUGUUGCUUGGAUGAGGAACUGCAGAGGAAAACGGCCCGAAAAAUAGGGGACAAACGAGGAAGGACAGAGGUGACCUGACCGAGGAAACUCUCUAGAUGCGAAGCCCGUAGUCGAUUCAACCCACCAGUGGUCAAAUGCGGCGACCCCCGUGAAGUCGAUGCGCCCGUGGUGGUCGAGGUGACUCGCAGAGAUGCUUUUGGGUAGUAGAACAUGGAUCAACGGUGCAGUCGCCUCCGCGUAGCCCCCACGAACUCCCCCCCGCGACAUGCAAGAGGAACCGCGCCCUCCAGCUUCGCCGCAAAAUUUCGCACCUUCCGCCAGUUCAGCAAGCAACCCCCGCCACCACACGCCUCCGCCGAAUACACAACUCCAGGCACUGGAUAGGACCGACCGCGCGGUUCCACUGCUCCAAGGCGAAUACCCCGGCCGGAAUCGCUGCUGGAAUCGGAGGAGAGAGAGAGAGAGAAACAAGGAGGCGAGGGAGACCUUCAGGUCGGGGGAGGCGAUGGGGAUGAGGAAUGAGGAAGAGACAAAGGCACUGGCUGACACAUGGG
Molecule: long non-coding RNA, 4065 nt
Organism: Brachypodium distachyon (stiff brome)
Lineage: Eukaryota; Viridiplantae; Streptophyta; Magnoliopsida; Poales; Poaceae
Exons: 5
Source: RefSeq, a predicted model, not a curated record